AUGCACGCUGGCGACGUGCCUAAUACCUGCAAGUCGCGCGCACAGACGAGGAGCUUGCUCCUCUGACGUUAGCGGCGGACGGGUGAGUAACACGUGGAUAACCUACCUAUAAGACUGGGAUAACUUCGGGAAACCGGAGCUAAUACCGGAUAAUAUAUUGAACCGCAUGGUUCAAUAGUGAAAGACGGUUUUGCUGUCACUUAUAGAUGGAUCCGCGCCGCAUUAGCUAGUUGGUAAGGUAACGGCUUACCAAGGCAACGAUGCGUAGCCGACCUGAGAGGGUGAUCGGCCACACUGGAACUGAGACACGGUCCAGACUCCUACGGGAGGCAGCAGUAGGGAAUCUUCCGCAAUGGGCGAAAGCCUGACGGAGCAACGCCGCGUGAGUGAUGAAGGUCUUCGGAUCGUAAAACUCUGUUAUUAGGGAAGAACAAAUGUGUAAGUAACUAUGCACGUCUUGACGGUACCUAAUCAGAAAGCCACGGCUAACUACGUG
RNAcentral lists this ribosomal RNA (496 nucleotides) under uncultured bacterium. RNAcentral describes it as "partial 16S ribosomal RNA". It matches the Rfam family "Bacterial small subunit ribosomal RNA", at positions 29 to 507 of the family's 1533-position model. The record is from RNAcentral.